CAGGGUACUUUCUCGCCAUAACUCUUUUCACAUCUCUGCUAGACUUUGUCUUAGGCACGUCGUUUGGAGUUUCUUAGCAUUUGCUUUGUUCGUGAUUUCUACGUUGCUGAAUUAUUUAUAUACCUAUAAACCAGUACAUAGGAUGUUGCAUCGAGGAUAUCCACGAGGGUGACCGGUAUAGGAGGCAGCCACUCAAAGGCUUACAGGAAUUUCGUUGGUGAAACGUCAGACAACCAGCAACAGUCAGGUGCAGUCCGCAUGUCGAAUUGCCCGGAAUUCGUCCUGGACGUCGUCGUCGAGAUCGCAGACGCUGCAGUCAUAGACUAGGAGGGGACGCCGGCAACGCACUUUACUGCACGCAACACGUUGCUCAGGGAGCACGGCCAUGCGGAGAUCGUUCCAGCGUACCGUCAGCGGCUUGACGGUGGCGGCGACGGAGGAGGAGCGUUAGCGACUCCACCCUCGACGAAGGUCACCUCGUCUGGCUAGAGAGCAGCGUCGAGACAACAAUCGAGCCAAAUAGGCCCGGGGGAGGUCGGCCCGGAUGCGCAGACCGGAUUGCCGCACAGCCUCAAGUAAGUGAAGCCAGGGAUGUGUUGGUAAUGCUAAGAUUUUUGUGUAAUUGACAGCUGAAUUAAAAAAAAGUAAUACAGUAUUUUAUAGCAAAAUAGCUCAUCAAUGAACGAAAGCAAUAUUCCAUUUUACCAAUCACAAAUGAAAUAUCCAAUGGUACUAUUGUAGUAAAUUGGGAAGCAAAAAAUAAAAGGUCCACGUUUUCAAACUAGGGGGACACACUCGCUAAAAAUGUUCUCAAGGGGGAGGGGGCACGGGCUGGAUGUGCCCCCCCCCCCCGAUCCGCCAU
Molecule: long non-coding RNA, 862 nt
Organism: Lytechinus variegatus (green sea urchin)
Lineage: Eukaryota; Metazoa; Echinodermata; Echinoidea; Temnopleuroida; Toxopneustidae
Exons: 3
Source: RefSeq, a predicted model, not a curated record